CUGGGCUAGCUGAUCUCUUGAGGUCUCUUCCACUCUUAUAUUUCUAUGUCUCUGUGUAGGCGACAGAACUGUUGUCAGAGAUCGUUGCUAAAGUGCAGCCUAGAAAGGAAGCUUUAGCUAGCUUGGCUUAUUCAAGGGCUUGCUGAUGAUGUGAGGUACCUAGUAACCAGCAAGUGUCUCCUAGCGACAUAUUCUCCUCCUUAGCAACUGCUCAGCUGCUCCUAGCAACUGCAGCCCUUUGGUCCCUAAACUGUUGCCUCCUCCCACAGGGGGUUCUGCGGCACUGCCUGCACAGCAACUCGAUCCGAUUAACAGGAAAUAGGAUUUGCAACUAAUCUGCAGACAUCAAAAGUGAGAGGCAGAAUCAAAAAUCAUGGUCUUGAAGUAGUUCCAGAUCAUUUUAAAACAUAUUUGUUAAUAAAAUGCAUUCAGGAUUAUUAUGAAUAUUAUGGAGCUGGAUUUAAAAAUGGGAGUAUGUAUUAGAUCCACAAAUGCAAUUUAAUACAAAUCCCUGCCUCACUCUCCUUGCAUUGCUUACGGUGGUGAGCUGGAUGAGUGCGCCUUUGCAGCCGCUGGCCCGGGUUUGGAGCAGCUAG
RNAcentral lists this long non-coding RNA (596 nucleotides) under Gopherus agassizii (Agassiz's desert tortoise). Its description in RNAcentral is "lncRNA (ENSGAGG00000020504.1)". Lineage: Eukaryota; Metazoa; Chordata; Testudines; Testudinidae. The record is from RNAcentral.